GAAAAAGUUUGAUUCUUGCUUUUGUCUUUAUGUUAAUUAUUAAGAUCGUAUGAAAAUUGUUAUGUAGGAAGGUAAAAUUAAAAUUUAUAUUUAGUUUAAAACGAGGUAAGUUAAUAAUAAUUGAUUGAAUUUUUGUUCUCAGCGUAAAAGAUUAAAAUUAUAUAUGAAAAUAUGAAUUAGUAGUAAUGUAAUAUAUUAUAUCUGAUUAAAAUUAUUGUGCCAGCAUUCGCGGUUAAACUUUAAGGUAAAAUAAAGAAAAAUUAGUAUUGUUAGUUAUAUGGUUAAUAAAUAAAUUAUGAAUAUUAUUAAGGUGGAAUUAAUUGUAAUUAAUUUAUAAGUGAAAAAAGAAUAAUAGAAGCUAAAAAUUUUUAAAGAUAAACUAGGAUUAGAUACCCUACUAUAUUAAAAAGUAAAGAAAAAGAAAGCUAGAUUAUUAAUAGUUAUUUACUUGAAAUUUAAAGAAUUUGGCGGUAAUUUAGUCUUAUUAGAGGAACCUGUUUUGUAAUCGACAAUCCACGAAGUAUCUUACUUAUUAGAAAUAGUUUGUAUACCAUCAUAGAAGAUAAUUUUGAUAAAAUAAAAUUAUUGAAAUUAAUUUAUUAAGAAAAUUAGAUCAAGGUGCAGCUUAUAAAUAAGUUAAAAUGGGUUACAAUAAAUUUUAUUUAUAUGAAUAUAAAAUGUAAGUAUAUUAUGGAAGGAGGAUUUAAUUGUAAUUAAAGUUUAAUAAGCUAUAAUGAUAAGAGCUCUAAAUUAUGUACAUAUCGCCCGUCGCUUUCAUGAAUUUAUGAGAUAAGUCGUAACAUAGUAGAUGUACUGGAAGGUGUAUCUAAGAUGAAA
This 837-nucleotide non-coding RNA is filed under the name Somanniathelphusa grayi. The record is from RNAcentral. Lineage: Eukaryota; Metazoa; Arthropoda; Malacostraca; Decapoda; Parathelphusidae.